This 253-nucleotide ribosomal RNA is filed under the name uncultured bacterium. RNAcentral's name for it is "partial 16S ribosomal RNA". It matches the Rfam family "Bacterial small subunit ribosomal RNA", at positions 524 to 776 of the family's 1533-position model. The record is from RNAcentral.
UACAGAGGGGGCAAGCGUUGUUCGGAAUUACUGGGCGUAAAGGGCGCGUAGGUGGCCUGCUAAGUCGAACGUGAAAUCCCUGGGCCCAACCCAGGAACUGCGUCCGAUACUGGUUGGCUUGAAUCCGGGAGAGGGAUGUGGAAUUCCAGGUGUAGCGGUGAAAUGCGUAGAUAUCUGGAGGAACACCGGUGGCGAAGGCGACAUCCUGGACCGGUAUUGACGCUGAGGCGCGAAAGCCAGGGGAGCAAACGGG